This 206-nucleotide ribosomal RNA is filed under the name uncultured bacterium. Its description in RNAcentral is "partial 16S ribosomal RNA". It matches the Rfam family "Bacterial small subunit ribosomal RNA", at positions 28 to 233 of the family's 1533-position model. The record is from RNAcentral.
GACGAACGCUGGCGGCGUGCUUAACACAUGCAAGUCGAGCGGUAAGGCCCUUUCGGGGGUACACGAGCGGCGAACGGGUGAGUAACACGUGGGUGACCUGCCCUUAGCUCUGGGAUAAGCCUGGGAAACUGGGUCUAAUACCGGAUAUGACUCCAUGACGCAUGUUGUGGGGGUGGAAAAGCCUUGUGCGGCUAGGGAUGGGCCCG